UCCACGUAUUUGCAAACAUUGGUGUAGACCCCUGGGAUGCCUUCUUGUCCGCAAGGCCCCACGGAUCCCCAGGACACCAGACCCUGAAGGACCCCGCCACACACCAGGGGACCCCCGGAAUCACCCUGGAAGACAAGAGGUUAAGGAGCAUGGUAUGAACAUGGGGAAACCCUGUUCCAGUUUGCCUCCUGCCCCCUCACCCAUGUCUUGGGCCUUGAGGACGGUGGCUCCAAGACUUGUCAUCAGAGAAAACAAGCAUAGCCACGUUCCCAGAGGACAACAGUGACUAGAGAAGAACACGUUGUCCCUAGGAGCCAAUCCCAGGGAAGGAGGGCGGGCCUCUAUGCCAGGGCAGAGGGUUCUCUCAAAGACAAUGGCUGAGCCCUGACCAAUGAAGGAAGAGAGUACGGGCACCAAUGACCAAUCCCAGUGGGGGAGGGCGGGACUCCAUGCGGGCUCAAGGAACAUGGCUGGGGCCCUGACCAAUGAGGGAAGAGGACACCGGUACCAGUGACCAAUGGUAGAGAAAGAGGACUGGACAUCUCAAGAGUCCUCUCCAGGGCUCUGGCUGAGGCCCUGGCCAGUAGGGAGGGGCAGUCUUCUAGCUGGAGGACCAACAGGACAAACUAGCCGGAUUGAGAUGAGAGAGCCCUCCAGCCCCUCUCUCCUGCUCCAUCCAGGAAUCGUUCUCACCUGGGCCAGCACCAACAGGAGGAUGGAUGGUGGCAUUGGAGACGAUGGAGAGGCUGAGGCACUGGAGUCGGUCUGGGAACGGGCCUGGAGAUGGAAGAUGGAUGCUGGAGGAUCCCCCAGUGCUUCCCUCAUCCCGCCACCACCCCCCCCACUCCCAAAGAGGCCUCACGGAAGCCCGAUACAAGUUUAUCCUCCACCCCCUCCCUGUGACCUCCAAGACAAUCCUUGGGCCUUUAAAUUUCAGAUGAUUUGAUUACAUA
Bubalus bubalis (water buffalo) is the source of this 953-nucleotide long non-coding RNA. RefSeq lists it as uncharacterized. The transcript has 2 exons. NCBI's taxonomy places the organism in Eukaryota, Metazoa, Chordata, Mammalia, Artiodactyla, Bovidae. The record is from RefSeq and is a predicted model, not a curated record.